This 253-nucleotide ribosomal RNA is filed under the name uncultured bacterium. Its description in RNAcentral is "partial 16S ribosomal RNA". It matches the Rfam family "Bacterial small subunit ribosomal RNA", at positions 524 to 776 of the family's 1533-position model. The record is from RNAcentral.
UACGUAGGGGGCAAGCGUUGUCCGGAAUCACUGGGCGUAAAGCGCACGUAGGCGGAUUUGUAAGUCAGGGGUGAAAUCCCGGGGCUCAACCUCGGAACUGCCUUUGAUACUGCGAAUCUUGAGUCCGAUAGAGGUGGGUGGAAUUCCUAGUGUAGAGGUGAAAUUCGUAGAUAUUAGGAAGAACACCAGUGGCGAAGGCGGCCCACUGGAUCGGUACUGACGCUGAGGUGCGAAAGCGUGGGGAGCAAACAGG